UGGAGCUCGACUCGGAGCCGUUCAGGAGCUGGACGAUCCGGUCGUAUUUUUUACGGGUCACCGUCUUGGUUUUUCCUGAGUCCCCGAGGAAAAACGGAUCUGGUGAAGGUUCCUCUUAUCCUUCCACUGUACGUGAUCAGUCUCUUUAAUAAUUGUGCAAGGCAGGACUAUCCCACUGGCUCCAGCAGCGUCUUACCCGGAGAGGGUUCGGGUGGAUAAAUAAUUAAAAUCCUAUCCCUCGGUAUAGCGAAGAAAAAAGAAAAUAUUGACUCGGAUCCUUCUUAUUUUCCAUACAUCAACUGCACCCGGAUUCACCCUGGAUAGUGCAGGUGAAGAAGAGGGAAGGAAAAAAAAAAAAAAAAGAACGGAAAGAAGAGAAAAAGCCCACCCUAGUCCGCCCCGGCAGCCCUCGGCUGUUUUCUCCGAAGGCUUUCUGAGCUUUCUGUCUCUGUCCUGGCGGGCUGUGUCUCUCCCCAAAGCCGCCGCGCCGCGCAGGAUGGAAGAAGCACUGAAGGGCACACUGGUCUCUUUGCUCCCCCUUUAUUCCAAGGCUGGGCGGCUUUGCUUCAGAUAUCCCCGCUCCGGGCAUGAAGGUACUGGAAAGAAAGAAAGUUCUUACCUGCUAUUUUCUAAGCCUAAUGCAUCCAAUCCGCGUUUAAAAUACAUAAUUUUUAAUUUUUAAAAAAUGGUCUGUGAGAAUUUCACUUCCUCAUAUUGAGUCCCAUUGAAUUUUCAUAUGCCCUUUCAGGAAUUUUCCUCUAUUUAUUUACAUAGCGAUCCCAGCCGAUGGAAGGGGAGGAAAAAAAAAAAAAAAAAAAAAAAGAAAGAAAGAAAGAAA
Molecule: long non-coding RNA, 838 nt
Organism: Vidua chalybeata
Lineage: Eukaryota; Metazoa; Chordata; Aves; Passeriformes; Viduidae
Exons: 2
Source: RefSeq, a predicted model, not a curated record